GAUGAACGCUAGCGGCAGGCUUAACACAUGCAAGUCGAGGGGCAUCGCGGGGUAGCAAUACUCUGGCGGCGACCGGCGCACGGGUGAGUAACGCGUAUCCAACCUGCCCAUGGCUAGGGAAUAGCCCGUUGAAAAGCGGAUUAAUGCCCUAUGGCGUCCUUUGCAGACAUCUAACGAGGACAAAAGGUUUACCGGCCAUGGAUGGGGAUGCGUCCGAUUAGGUAGUUGGCGGAGUAACGGCCCACCAAGCCCUCGAUCGGUAGGGGUUCUGAGAGGAAGGUCCCCCACAUUGGAACUGAGACACGGUCCAAACUCC
Molecule: ribosomal RNA, 316 nt
Filed under: uncultured Prevotella sp.
Lineage: Bacteria; Pseudomonadati; Bacteroidota; Bacteroidia; Bacteroidales; Prevotellaceae
Description: bacterial SSU rRNA
Rfam family: Bacterial small subunit ribosomal RNA
Source: RNAcentral